CCCUUAGACGUUCUGGGCCGCACGCGCGCUGCACUGACCAGUGCAACAAGCAUCCGUCCUUGGCCGACAGGCUCGGGCAAUCUUUGAACGCUGGUCGUGAUGGGGAUAGACUUUUGCAAUUUUUGGUCUUCAACGAGGAAUUCCUAGUAAACGCAAGUCAUCAACUUGCAUUGAUUACGUCCCUGCCCUUUGUACACACCGCCCGUCGCACCUACCGAUUGAAUGGUCCGGUGAAGCCUCCGGAUUGGCGCGCACCUCGGUGCCGCCGAGAAGUUGGCUAAACCUUACCAUUUAGAGGAAGGUGAAGUCGUANCA
RNAcentral lists this ribosomal RNA (315 nucleotides) under uncultured eukaryote. Its description in RNAcentral is "partial 18S ribosomal RNA". It matches the Rfam family "Eukaryotic small subunit ribosomal RNA", at positions 1470 to 1796 of the family's 1831-position model. The record is from RNAcentral.